GACGAACGCUGGCGGCGUGCCUAACACAUGCAAGUCGAGCGGGCGUCGCAAGACGUCAGCGGCAGACGGGAGAGUAACACGUGGGAACGUACCCUUCGGUUCGGAAUAACCCAGGGAAACUUGGACUAAUACCGGAUACGUCCGUAAGGAGAAAGAUUUAUCGCCGAAGGAUCGGCCCGCGUCCGAUUAGCUAGUUGGUGGGGUAAUGGCCCACCAAGGCGACGAUCGGUAGCUGGUCUGAGAGGAUGAUCAGCCUCACUGGGACUGAGACACGGCCCAGACUCCUACGGGAGGCAGCAGUGGGGAAUAUUGGACAAUGGGCGCAAGCCUGAUCCAGCCAUGCCGCGUGGGUGAUGAAGGCCCUAGGGUUGUAAAGCCCUUUCGGCGGGGAAGAUAAUGACGGUACCCGCAGAAGAAGCCCCGGCUAACUUCGUGCCAGCAGCCGCAGUAA
RNAcentral lists this ribosomal RNA (451 nucleotides) under uncultured bacterium. Its description in RNAcentral is "partial 16S ribosomal RNA". It matches the Rfam family "Bacterial small subunit ribosomal RNA", at positions 28 to 523 of the family's 1533-position model. The record is from RNAcentral.